GCGGAUUUAGCUCAUUUGGUAGUGCGCGACCUUGCCAAGGUCGAGGUGGCGGGUUCGAUCCCCGUAAUCCGCUCCA
This 76-nucleotide transfer RNA is filed under the name Clostridia bacterium. Its description in RNAcentral is "tRNA-Gly". It matches the Rfam family "tRNA". Rfam says of the family: Transfer RNA (tRNA) molecules are approximately 80 nucleotides in length. The record is from RNAcentral. Lineage: Bacteria; Bacillati; Bacillota; Clostridia.